This 335-nucleotide ribosomal RNA is filed under the name Clostridioides difficile. Its description in RNAcentral is "bacterial SSU rRNA". It matches the Rfam family "Bacterial small subunit ribosomal RNA", at positions 1050 to 1386 of the family's 1533-position model. Lineage: Bacteria; Bacillati; Bacillota; Clostridia; Peptostreptococcales; Peptostreptococcaceae. The record is from RNAcentral.
UGUCGUCAGCUCGUGUCGUGAGAUGUUGGGUUAAGUCCCGCAACGAGCGCAACCCUUGUCUUUAGUUGCCAUCAUUAAGUUGGGCACUCUAGAGAGACUGCCAGGGAUAACCUGGAGGAAGGUGGGGAUGACGUCAAAUCAUCAUGCCCCUUAUGCUUAGGGCUACACACGUGCUACAAUGGGUAGUACAGAGGGUUGCCAAGCCGUAAGGUGGAGCUAAUCCCUUAAAGCUACUCUCAGUUCGGAUUGUAGGCUGAAACUCGCCUACAUGAAGCUGGAGUUACUAGUAAUCGCAGAUCAGAAUGCUGCGGUGAAUGCGUUCCCGGGUCUUGUAC